AUGAACGCUAGCGACAGGCUUAACACAUGCAAGUCGAGGGGCAGCGGGGGAUAAGCUUGCUUUUCCUGCCGGCGACCGGCGCACGGGUGAGUAACACGUAUGCAACCUGCCCCUGUCAGAGGGAUAAUCCGGAGAAAUCCGGUCUAAUAUCGCAUAAAGCGUUUGCGGGGCAUCCUGCGAGCGCCAAAGGAGUAAUCCGGACAGGGAUGGGCAUGCGGCGCAUUAGCUAGUUGGGGGGGUAACGGCUCACCAAGGCGACGAUGCGUAGGGGUUCUGAGAGGAAGGUCCCCCACAUUGGUACUGAGACACGGACCAAACUCCUACGGGAGGCAGCAGUGAGGAAUAUUGGUCAAUGGCCGAGAGGCUGAACCAGCCAAGUCGCGUGAAGGAAGAAGGAUCUAUGGUUUGUAAACUUCUUUUAUAGGGGAAUAAAGUGGAGGACGUGUCCUUUUUUGUAUGUACCCUAUGAAUAAGCAUCGGCUAACUCCGUGCCAGCAGCCGCGGUAAUACGGAGGAUGCGAGCGUUAUCCGGAUUUAUUGGGUUUAAAGGGUGCGUAGGUGGUGAUUUAAGUCAGCGGUGAAAGUUUGUGGCUCAACCAUAAAAUUGCCGUUGAAACUGGGUUACUUGAGUGUGUUUGAGGUAGGCGGAAUGCGUGGUGUAGCGGUGAAAUGCAUAGAUAUCACGCAGAACUCCGAUUGCGAAGGCAGCUUACUAAACCAUAACUGACACUGAAGCACGAAAGCGUGGGGGAUCAAACAGGAUUAGAUACCCUGGGUAGUCCACGCAAG
This 789-nucleotide ribosomal RNA is filed under the name uncultured bacterium. Its description in RNAcentral is "bacterial SSU rRNA". It matches the Rfam family "Bacterial small subunit ribosomal RNA", at positions 29 to 803 of the family's 1533-position model. The record is from RNAcentral.